GACGAACGCUGGCGGCGUGCUUAACACAUGCAAGUCGAGCGGUAAGGCCCUUUCGGGGGUACACGAGCGGCGAACGGGUGAGUAACACGUGGGUGACCUGCCCUCAGCUCUGGGAUAAGCCUGGGAAACCGGGUCUAAUACUGGAUAUGACUCCAUGACGCAUGUUGUGGGGUGAAAGCCUUGUGCGGCUGAGGAUGGGCCCGCGGCCUAUCAGCUUGUUGGUGGGGUGAUGGCCUACCAAGGCGACGACGGGUAGCCGGCCUGAGAGGGCGACCGGCCACACUGGGACUGAGACACGGCCCAGACUCCUACGGGAGGCAGCAGUGGGGAAUCUUGCGCAAUGGGCGAAAGCCUGACGCAGCGACGCCGCGUGAGGGAUGACGGCC
Molecule: ribosomal RNA, 386 nt
Filed under: uncultured bacterium
Lineage: Bacteria
Description: bacterial SSU rRNA
Rfam family: Bacterial small subunit ribosomal RNA
Source: RNAcentral